RNAcentral lists this ribosomal RNA (460 nucleotides) under uncultured bacterium. RNAcentral's name for it is "partial 16S ribosomal RNA". It matches the Rfam family "Bacterial small subunit ribosomal RNA", at positions 338 to 795 of the family's 1533-position model. The record is from RNAcentral.
CCUACGGGAGGCAGCAGUGAGGAAUAUUGGUCAAUGGCCGGAAGGCUGAACCAGCCAUGCCGCGUGAAGGUCAGUGCCCUAUGGGCGUUAAACUUCUUUUGUGCGGGAGCAAUAAUGGUCACGUGUGGCCAGACGAGAGUACCGUACGAAUAAGCAUCGGCUAACUCCGUGCCAGCAGCAGCGGUAAUACGGGGGAUGCAAGCGGUAUCCGGAGUUAUUGGGUUUAAAGGGUGCGUAGGAUGUUAGGUAAGUCAGCGGUGAAAUGCCCCGGCUCAACGGGGUGAAGUGCCAUUGAUACUGCCUGGCUGGAGUGCGGAUGCGGGAGGAGGAAUGUGUGGUGUAGCGGUGAAAUGCAUAGAUAUCACACAGAACACCGAUUGCGAAGGCAGCUCACGAAUCCGCGAUUGACGCUGAUGCACGAAAGCGUGGGUAUCAAACAGGAUUAGAUACCCUAGUAGUC